This 1207-nucleotide ribosomal RNA is filed under the name Marantokordyana oberwinkleriana. RNAcentral's name for it is "partial large subunit ribosomal RNA". It matches the Rfam family "Eukaryotic large subunit ribosomal RNA", at positions 70 to 1444 of the family's 3401-position model. The record is from RNAcentral. Lineage: Eukaryota; Fungi; Basidiomycota; Exobasidiomycetes; Exobasidiales; Brachybasidiaceae.
AAGGAUUCCCCUAGUAACGGCGAGUGAAGCGGGAAAAGCUCAAAUUUGAAAGCUGGCAGCAAUGUCCGCGUUGUAAUCUCGAGAAACGUUUUCCGUGCUGGACCGUAGACAUGUUCCUUGGAAUAGGAUGUCAUAGAGGGUGAUAACCCCGUACUUGCUACGGACGCCCAGUGCUUUGUGAUACGUUUUCGAAGAGUCGAGUUGUUUGGGAAUGCAGCUCAAAAUGGGUGGUAAAUUCCAUCUAAAGCUAAAUAUUGGGGAGAGACCGAUAGCAAACAAGUACCGUGAGGGAAAGAUGAAAAGCACUUUGGAAAGAGAGUUAAACAGUACGUGAAAUUGUCAAAAGGGAAGCGCUUCACGUCAGACGUGUGCGGCGAUAUUCAGCCUUACGGUGUCUUUAUCGUCGCACAGGCCAGCAUCGAUUUUGCGCGACGGAGAAUGGUAGAGGGAAUGUAGGAUGCAAAUCUGUUAUAGCCCUUUACUGGAUACGUCGUGCGGGAUCGAGGAACGCAGCGCACCCGCAAGGGCAGGUCUUUGGACACUUUUGCGCUUAGGAUGCUGGCGUAAUGGCUUGAAGCGACCCGUCUUGAAACACGGACCAAGGAGUCUAACAUGUCUGCGAGUCUUUGGGUGGCAAACCCAUCGGCGCAAUGAAAGUGAAUGUAGGUGGGAUCCCGCAAGGGUGCACCAUCGACCGAUCUGUAUUCAUAACGGAUUUGAGUAAGAGCAUAUACGUUAGGACCCGAAAGAUGGUGAACUAUGCCUGGACAGGGCGAAGCCAGAGGAAACUCUGGUGGAGGCUCGUAGACGUUCUGACGUGCAAAUCGAUGUUCAGAUCUGGGUAUAGGGGCGAAAGACUAAUCGAACCAUGAAAAUACACUAAGUGGUUAAGAGACGGCGCGCAAGCGUUCAGUCUAGUCGUGUGUUAAGCACGGCAACACUAUCCAAUUGCGGGGACGUCCUAAAGACUUUUACUACCAAGCGUCGUGUAGCGAUACAUGCGUGGCCGCGGCUAACGACCGUGGGUAUGGUGACAACGUAGAGUAUGAAACAAUGGAUAAUCCGCAGCCAAGCUCUUGCGAAAGAGUGCAGUUCAGAGACUAUAUGGUAGUGGGUGUUUAUAUAUAAACGCUUAAGAUAGAGUCCGACCCCGUGCGAAAGCAUGCUGGCUAACAAAGGAACGCACGUUUCCCCGAGUAGUCAGGUU